CCUGCAGGGUAGCGCCACAGGCUCUGAGGGUGCCUCUAGGAAAAAUAAACCUGUAAGGAGAAAUAUUCUGGGUGCAGUCACAUCUCCCUGAACCACAUCCCUGUUCCUUACAGGUGCCUGAGGGUGCCCCAUGGGGCUGUAAGGAAUGUGACACAGCCCUCUUGAGGAGUUGUAUCCAUCUUGAGAUAGCUGUGAGGGGACAGCCCCAGCACCAGGGGUCAGUGGGAAACACAAUUGUGUUUUCUCCCCUGCAAGGGGUAUCUGGACUUAGACUCCCAAGACAAGAUAGUUUAAGGGCACAGGACAGCUUCUUUUGGGGAAGUGGGCUCUGCCAAGCAGAAGUUAAGAAGCUUCCAGAACAUGCCCCUGUGCUGAAGCGCACCUAGCUGUUCUAGGUGGGACCUACCACAGUGAGAACUGCAGCAGCAAUCAGCCCUAGUGCUGGCCAUCAUCUGCAAUCAGCCAUCAAGUUCCAGUUUUCUUGUGUUGACAUCAUGGGAAGAGGCUUUAAAUGAGACUAGUAUCUCUGUUAGUGACAGAACAUAGCAGGCAAAUAGUAGAGGCCAGAAACUCAUGAACUGAGAUGGUCUUUAAUAGUCAAGUUAAAAAAACAAAGGAAUUGUUCCUCGUCAAAUAUGGGCAACAAUUGUUGUCAGCGUGUGCACUGAGACUGUGUAUCAUUAAUCACUAGAAUCGAGCAUUUCCUAAUUUUUAGGUAGUGUUGCUGAUUUGUCUUAGUUAAUGAUGUAGGAAACUAGUUUUUUAAGUCUCACAACACAUUGAAUUUAAAUGCUUGCAUACCUACACAUUGAAUUUAAAUGCUUGCAUAAGCAUCCCAGAGCAUUUCUGGUACUUACAUUUUAGUGGCUGUUUUUCUGACAUUCUGUGAAGCAUGACUAUUCUUUUCCUUCAUUUCCCCAAAGAUAUUGAUGUGUAUGUGCAGAGAAGUGGAAUUCCAACUGAGGUCUCCAAUAGAAAAAUAACAUAUUAAAAACCAAUCUGAGCACUUAAGAACUUUAUCAACUCAAGAAACUGGAAUUACUGUGGAAAUCUCAGUAUUGUGUCUGUUUUCUAUUAAUACCAAGAAUUCUUACUCAUGGACUAACAUCAUACUGUAUUAGAGACCAAACACACAUAAAACAGAAACACCUUUGCUUCCAUUUGUAAAAUUAGUAUGAAGCAAGAAGUAAAACAUAGAAAAAGGCAGAUUAGGGAACACAAGAAAAUAUUGGAUGGUCAUCUGAGGAAUCUUUCUGUUCAUUGCUGGUACGGAAGGGAGAGUGGCAUUCUGAUAUCUAUACAUUCAGGAUCAGUCAACAGUAGCAAAAUAUGUCUUGCUCACUUCAUAAUCUGGAGGAAACUUCAGGCUGAAUUUGCAAUUAGACAUACACGAUGUUUGCAUUGUAUAGAGGCUGUGUGAAGGGAUUUAGUUUGCCUUUUUCCCCCAAAUUAGCUAUUACAUAAUUAAUCCUUAGAAAUCCUCUGCCUGUUUAGAAUAAACACAAGGAGAAAUGAGAGAAUGUCCCAUUCUCAGGUUUUUAAGUAAUGACAUGAGCAUGCCAGUGAUGCAUUAUCCCUUUUGUAAAGUUAUACAAGUUGAGAGGUAUUUGUUUGUUUGUCCGUAUCAAUUGUCUCCAGGUGUUUGGUGUUUUUCUGUGCUUUUCAAAAAGGCAGGAAGGGGAGGAUGUUCCUAAAUAAUAUGUUGCCCUGACUUUAUAAGGCUUGUUUUGUCUGGCAAAUGAAUUAUGUAAACCUUUUCCACCCGAAACUGUUUCAAGUCAAUUAAUUGUUGUAAUUACUUAAGAUUUCUUUUUAAUGAAUAUGACUCUCCAGGGAUUUGAUGAUAUUCUGUCAUCUGUAGACCUGAUAAAUGAAAUGUGAUUUGUGGCUUGCUGCAAACUGAACCCUUGUACUUGAACAAUGUCUCUCUUUCCUAUGUGCUCACUAAAUGGAAGAAAUGCCCUUGAUGGAAUUAGAAACAUUUGCUUCAGUUGGUCCCUAGCAAGAAUGGCUAGUAUAGGCAGGUAAGGUUUGGCUUUUACUCCUUUUGUUCCCUCUUCCUUUAAAUGCAGGCCUUGUUAACACAUUGACAAUUACUAAGACCAAACACACAACCCCAGUGAGGCUACCUAUUGUAAUUGAGAACUAGCUGAGUUCUUCCAUCUCUCAUCUCCAUUAGAUGCACUGAAAUGUGAAAGAUUAGCAGUCAGAGAGGAAGGAAACCAACACUGUAUGAUGGUUUUCUUAUAUUACCUUUUGUAUUGCUUUCUUUGCCUCACCAACAUUUUGUAAUAAGAACAGCCAAAUCUGGCAAGCAAGGCACCCUCUCCUUGUUUUUGUGCAAUACCUAGUUUCCAGUGCACAAUAUCUAGAUUCCAGUGCUUCUCAAGAAAAACAGAGCUGCCCAGUGCUGCAGAUGAAGACAAGCAAUCUGAGACAGCAUGACAAAAAACCAUGAAGUCUGAAUUGAGUUCCUGCAGUGUGACUGCUUGUAUGUGUUUCCACUAGCCUAUUUUCCCUUACACUGCCAUGCAAAUAGUAUAGCUAAAUCUCCAAUGUUAGGAAAGUAUAAAGCAGGUGGAGUUUCCUGAUUUAAAUUCCAUUGGUAAAAUGGGGAUUAUUGCUUUAUUGCAAGACCUUUCCUGAAUAUCACGUGGGUACAUUAAACAUCGUAAAAUACAUAGCCAAAUGUAGUGGCUUGGUUAUAGGUUGGAAUGUAAGGACAAUGAAUUAUUGUGUAUCUCAAGCAAAGAUCACUUUGACCUUUUUCCAGUCAAAAGAGGGUGCCUCAUAUAUGCAUAGCUGUCUAAAUCUGGCAGUCAUGGGUAGUGUAAGUGUACAGAAGAGACAGCAUCCCUGAUAAUGGAAGUGAAUUAACAAACAGAAGAAACUGUUAUGUCUAUUAGUGGUCCAGGAAAAACAAAGGGCUGUGAAGGGUGCAAAGGUGAAAACUGUGAAGAAAGAGUGACAAAGAAACAUCAGACCAAUGUCUGGGAGGAAGAAUCAUGGAAAAUGAGAAAACAUUGAAUUUUCACAGAAAGGGAUUUUGCACUUUGGGGUUCAAAAGCCAGGAGAGAUUGUAGUGACAAAACUAUAUCAAACCCUAAGUCUUUCUAAACUCAAACCCGCUUCUUUAUGCUGGCAUAAAAGAUAUUGUCUUUCUCUUCCUCCAACCUGCCCUUUUUCUUUCUGGGCUAGCAGGACCUAUAGCCAAGGAUACAAAUGUACAAUAAACUUCAAGGAACUAUUUUUCCUGGCUUGAUGGGUCCAGCUGAAAAAGUGGUAUCUAGAAGUUUAUGACACUGAUUGUCUUUGGUUCAGUAAUUGGAUGGAAGACAUUCAGAUCACCUUUGAUUAGAUGAACUUCUGAAACUACUGAGAUUUAUCAGUGCACAGAUCUUACUCUCAGAGGACUCAAGUAAAAGUGUCCCAUUAACUUAAUGAAUCAGGCCGCAAGAGAACAACUGCUCUUGAAGUCAGAAUGAGAGAUUUCCCAUCAGUGGCACAAAUUCUGCCAAUAAAGGCAACAGGAUUUCUCAAGUGAAAUGAGAUUAGAAAAUGUCUCCCCUGAUUUUCAGUAGUUAGAUGAUUGACUAUCCUGUAAUAGGCUAAUUAUUAGAUUUCCCUUCAAUUUUUGUGUUGCAGAAAGGAAGGAAAGUUUCUUUCUCUACCUAGAUUGUGUGAUAGUUGUGGCACUGUUUCAUCAAUGCCAUUGCAUAGUCUUGACCUUUGAAAGAUGGUAUGGUGCAUUCAUCUUUCUCAAUCUCCUCUGCCUUCAGCAAGGUGUCCUCAGCUCUGGAACUUCUGGCAAUUUGACAAAGGCAUCUCCCUACAUGUCAGUUCCUGUUAUCCACUCUGUCUUCUUCACAUAUGACACACAUGUCAGCUCUCAUUUUUUUCACUGCUUUCUUUGUUUGCUCCUUCACAGGUGGGAGAUUCCUCAUCCUCUUUUUUGAGCCAUUUCCAGGGUGGUCCUUAUUUUUCCUGCAAUGCCUUCCUUGACAACUUUAAAGAUCCUUUUUGUCACUGAUGUUCUGUGUGAUGAGGCAUUGACAAGAAGGCAAUGAUCACUGCCUCUCCUCUCAUCUAGAAGUGAAUCAGCAGGAAGCAGAGAUUAUAGAAACAUGUUCUUGUCAGUCUGUCCUUCAAAAAGGCAGGGAGCCUCCCCGACUGCGCCCCUGGUAGCUCCUCAGUGGUCUUGAAAGUUGGAUGCAGGGAAAACAACCAAAAGAGUUAACUUACAAGAAAUAACUGUUGUCAGACAAGUGAUCCUGAAGGCUGAUAAAAAAAAAGUAUUCCUGACACUGUUACUUUCUUAUUUAGAUGUUUGGGCACUUACAGUAAAAAGUUCAAUAAGAGCUGAGACAGUGGACAGAUACUGUUCAAAUUGCAUAUGAUGGUUUCAUAUGCUUAACUACUUAUCUGAAGUGAUAAAAUUAAAACAGAAACAUAGUAAUUUAGGCAAAUUUUAAGCCUUGUUUCUCCUUUCAUAUGUGGCUUUUUGCACUACUUUACCUUUGUAAAGAUAAUUUAUACUAGUGUGACAUCAAAAUUACAUCAUAGAAGCAGAUACUUACAAUAAAUGUUGGUUUUGAAAAUACUAAGUUGGUCUUAUCUAAUCUAACCAGGUUUUAUAGAAAUAAACCUAUUUUGGUAAAUUUUGAGGCGUUUUUAAAUGCAAGUUUUAUUUCUACAAUCACUAGUGUAAAUAAUUUAGACAGAAUGAAGACACCCCAUUGCUGAGGUGUCUUCCUCUAUAAAAGUAGACUACAUUGGAACACAUACUAAUAAAAUUGUCUUUUCUGAAUAUUUUGGGAUCUUUCUUACAAAUUUAGUAAUUUUUUUGUUUGUGUCUGGUCUACUUAAGAAGUUGCUAGCACAAAGCAGUGAGAAUAGUCAGGUUUGUCUUGCCUUUCAGAGUUUUCCUUUUAAUGCAGUCCAGAGAUGAUUCAGUUAGUGACUUUUACCAAAUCAAAUCCACUACUUUGUUUUUACAUAAAUUUUAUAGGAAUAAUCUGUGUUCUUAAAGUUGGGAAGGUUUUUCAAUAACUGGCUACAUGGUAAACAAGAGAUAUUCAAAAUUCUAGCAGUAACUUAUAUCACAAUAUUCUUACUGUUUUCUCCUACAAAAAUAAGUUGCCAAACAAAGCUGUCACAGUGAAUUAGAGCAUGGUUCAAAUGAAAAAUGCAAAAGAAUGUACAACCUAAACUUAAAAGAAAGUUAAAUUACAUUAGCAAAGAAAAGGUAUAAGAAGUCUUUAAAAUGCUCUCUCCAUAUCACACAGUUUCCAGUAACAAAAUAAAAAUUGUAAUAUUUUAUUAUUAUAAUAAAUAGAAUGCAUGCUUUCCGAAAUUGCCUAUAGUCACAUACUUUUUUGUUAUACAGUAAACACUUUAAAUUG
This is a long non-coding RNA of Pezoporus flaviventris, 5402 nucleotides long. RefSeq lists it as uncharacterized. NCBI's taxonomy places the organism in Eukaryota, Metazoa, Chordata, Aves, Psittaciformes, Psittacidae. The transcript has 3 exons. The record is from RefSeq and is a predicted model, not a curated record.